This 321-nucleotide ribosomal RNA is filed under the name uncultured Chloroflexota bacterium. Its description in RNAcentral is "bacterial SSU rRNA". It matches the Rfam family "Bacterial small subunit ribosomal RNA", at positions 28 to 351 of the family's 1533-position model. The record is from RNAcentral. Lineage: Bacteria; Bacillati; Chloroflexota.
GAUGAACGCUGGCGGCGUGCUUAAUACAUGCAAGUCGAACGAAGUCAGUAGCAAUAUUGGCUGAGUGGCGAACGGGUGAGUAACGCGUUGGUGACCUGCCCCGAAGAGAGGGAUAACAGUCCGAAAGGAUUGCUAAUACCCCAUGUGGUCAGCGGGUUUAGAAACCGCUGAAAAAAGAAGCAAUUCGCUUUGGGAGGGACCUGCGUCCCAUCAGCUAGUUGGUAGGGUAAUGGCCUACCAAGGCUGCGACGGGUAGGGGGCCUGAGAGGGUGGCCCCCCACAUUGGCACUGACACACGGGCCAAACACCUACGGGAGGCUG